AUUUUUGUUAGAUUUCUUCUGAAGGUUUGAUUUUAAAUCUUCAGUCCUAGAUUCAAAGUUCGGACAGUAAGUGUGAUGAAGCUGUAUCUAAUUCUGGUAACAUUAUUGGCUCUGUUCUUUAGUUCUGUGGUGGCUAAACAUUUCCUUGUAGAAACUAUAGAUGAAACCCCAGAAAAAGAUGUAAAACAACCUAAGAAUCAAGUUUCGCCUGGAACCCCUGAGAUUGGUGAAGAUUAUAGAUUGGACAGAUUAGAAGGAUUUCGUCACUUGGGUUAAAUUAAUUUUGUAAAAGAAAUUAUAUAAAAAAGUAAACUUCUUGCAUAUUUAUUAAA
Long non-coding RNA from Eurytemora carolleeae, 332 nucleotides. RefSeq lists it as uncharacterized. The record is from RefSeq and is a predicted model, not a curated record. NCBI's taxonomy places the organism in Eukaryota, Metazoa, Arthropoda, Copepoda, Calanoida, Temoridae. The transcript is spliced from 4 exons.